Molecule: ribosomal RNA, 491 nt
Filed under: uncultured bacterium
Lineage: Bacteria
Description: partial 16S ribosomal RNA
Rfam family: Bacterial small subunit ribosomal RNA
Source: RNAcentral
AGUGAACGCUGGCGGUAGGCCUAACACAUGCAAGUCGAACGGCAGCACAGUAAGAGCUUGCUCUUACGGGUGGCGAGUGGCGGACGAGUGAGGAAUACAUCGGAAUCUACUUUUUCGUGGGGGAUAACGUAGGGAAACUUACGCUAAUACCGCAUACGACCUACGGGUGAAAGCAGGGGAUCUUCGGACCUUGCGCGAUUGAAUGAGCCGAUGUCGGAUUAGCUAGUUGGCGGGGUAAAGGUCCACCAAGGCGACGAUCCGUAGCUGGUCUGAGAGGAUGAUCAGCCACACUGGAACUGAGACACGGUCCAGACUCCUACGGGAGGCAGCAGUGGGGAAUAUUGGACAAUGGGCGCAAGCCUGAUCCAGCCAUACCGCGUGGGUGAAGAAGGCCUUCGGGUUGUAAAGCCCUUUUGUUGGGAAAGAAAAGCAGCAGGUUAAUACCCCGCUGUUCUGACGGUACCCAAAGAAUAAGCACCGGCUAACUUCGU